CAAAGAUUUGGUCCUAGCCUUACUGUUACUUUUUGCUAAACUUACACAUGCAAGUAUGCAAGUAUCGGCACGCCCAGUGAAUUGCCCUAACAGUCAAGCAGACAGAUGAGCCUGGUAUCAGGCACCCCAUGAUAGCCCAAACACCUAGCCUCGCCACACCCCCAAGGGUAUUCAGCAGUGAUAAAACUAAGCAAUAAGCACAAGCUUGACUUAGUUACAGCAAACAGAGUUGGUCAAUCUUGUGCCAGCCACCGCGGUUAUACAAGAAACUCAAACUAACAAAAAAUCGGCGUAAAAUGUGACUAAAACAUCAAUCUAAAAAAUUAAGGUAAAUCCCCCCACUCAACUGUCAUACGUAAAAGUAUACAUCAGCCCACUAUGAAAAUAACCUUAAUGCAAUAGAACCAUUUGAACCCACGAUCGCUAAGACACAAACUGGGAUUAGAUACCCCACUAUGCUUAGCCUUAAACUUAGAUAUUUAAUACACAAAAAUAUCCGCCAGAGAACUACGAGCAAAACGCUUAAAACUCUAAGGACUUGGCGGUACCUCAAACCCACCUAGAGGAGCCUGUUCUAUAAUCGAUAACCCACGAUUCACCUCACCAUCUCUUGCCAAUACCGCCUAUAUACCACCGUCACCAGCUUACCCCAUGAGGGGUGCAAAAGUAGGCAAAAUAACUAAACAGUUAACAAGUCAGGUCAAGGUGUAGCUAAUUGAAAUGGAAGAAAUGGGCUACAUUUUCUACACUAGAAAUUAAUUUACGGAAAGGAACUGUGAAACAAGUCCCAUAAGUAGGAUUUAGCAGUAAACUAGGAUUAGAGUGCCUAAUUUAAGCUGGCCCCGAGGUGCGCACACACCGCCCGUCACCCUCCUCAAAUAACUCAACAACAAUAAAUAAACCAAUAACAAAUAUAACUAGAUGAGGCAAGUCGUAACAAGGUAAGUACACCGGAAGGUGUACUUGGAACAUU
This 973-nucleotide non-coding RNA is filed under the name Cyclemys tcheponensis (stripeneck leaf turtle). Its description in RNAcentral is "12S ribosomal RNA". It matches the Rfam family "Bacterial small subunit ribosomal RNA". The record is from RNAcentral. Lineage: Eukaryota; Metazoa; Chordata; Testudines; Geoemydidae.